This 682-nucleotide long non-coding RNA is filed under the name Gossypium barbadense (sea-island cotton). RNAcentral's name for it is "long non-coding RNA (GBAR_LNC018090)". Lineage: Eukaryota; Viridiplantae; Streptophyta; Magnoliopsida; Malvales; Malvaceae. The record is from RNAcentral.
UCGAAUCCCUAUACAGGCAAUAGUAUUAUUUUUUUGCUCAGAUUUUGGGAUAGAGUUGUGUAAUAGGGGGAUUCUCAGUACUGGAUGUGUAGUGGGAAUUAGGGGAGAAGAUUAAGGGAUUUUGGGGGUUAUCGAGAUUUUAUUUUAUUUUUUUCCAUAACCGAAUUUGACUCUCUUUUCCAAAAAAAUUUUUGCCGUCUAUUCUUCUCUUUCUCCUCUUACCAAAAUUCUCUGAGUUUUUCCAUCUUUCUCUUCUUUUUCUUCUUCUUGAUUUUUCCCUAAUCCAUUUAUUUUCCUUCGUUUUUGCACGCGGUUAGUACUCGCCUAGUUUCGGUAAGUGUUUCUAUUCAAUUCUGUCAUGAAUCUCUUAGCGACUGAAGUGGUAAUGUUUUUUCUUUACGAUUUGGGUGUAGAGGAGGCUCGAACUGGUGAAUUUUGUGUUCUCGUCUUAACAAUAGUUAAACGGAGAGUUAUCGUUGGUGGUAAGAUGUGUUUUUGUUCGUUCUUGGUUGUCAAUUCAUUUGUAAAUCCAUUAAAUUGAUGUUGAGUAUCUUGUUUAUAGGCUUUAGAGUGCUCAGGAACUAUUUUAACAUCAAACAAAACCAGUUGUGUACCUGAACCGGAAAAAAAGGGAUUCAGCGAAAAGCUGAAAUUGCUUGAUGUUUGGACAGUAGCAGUAGGC